Molecule: long non-coding RNA, 1076 nt
Filed under: Apteryx rowi (Okarito brown kiwi)
Lineage: Eukaryota; Metazoa; Chordata; Aves; Apterygiformes; Apterygidae
Description: lncRNA (ENSARWG00000013991.1)
Source: RNAcentral
GCACAAGGGGCCACUGCGGGGAGACAACUGGGACACAACCGGGGACACAAUGGGGGUACAACUGGGACACAACCGGGGAGACAACGGGGGUACAACAGGACACAACUGGGACACAACUGGAGCUACAACGGGACACAACUAGGGGCCCCUGAGACACCCCUGCUGGACCCCAGGGACCCUGUGGGUAACAGGGACCAGACUGGGGACCCCACAGGUGAUAGUGGCCGGACACAACCGGACCCGGGCACCCCACUGGGGACAGCAGCCAGAGCAGCCCCACAGCCGGACCCUGGGGUGCCCCACAGGUGACAAACCCCACUGGUGACGGGGACGGUGGCUGGAGCAGCCCCAACAGGAUGUGGGAACCCCACUGGUGACAGGAACAGGUCGGGGAGGUCCCACAGCCGGACCCUGGGGACCCACCAGCAAUGGGGACAACAGCCGGAGYAGCCCCACAGCCAGACCCCAGGGACAUGGGGAUGGGGACCCCACCAGUGACAGGGGACUGUGGUGACAAGGACCCCACCGGUGGCAGUGGGAUGUGGUGACAGGGACCCCACCGGUGACAGCAGGAUGCRUUGAUGGGGAACCAUCGGCGACAGGGACGUGGUGACUCCAGGAGUGACAGGGACCUUAUUGAGGACCCCACCGGGGGUGUGGUGACCCCACAGGUGACAUGGUGAGGGGGAACCACCGGUGACAGGGGGACGUGGUACCACCACCAGUGGCAUGGUGACGGGGAUGCACUGGUGACAGGGGGACGCUGUGACACCAGCAGUGAUGAGGGGACACAGUGACAGGAACCUACUGGUGACAGGGGGGACGUGGUGACUCCAUGGGUGACGAGUGGACAUGGUGACAAGGACCCACCAGCAACGGGGGGGCACCGUGACACCACCGGUGACAGGGACCCACCAGUGAUGGGACCACGGGUGACAGGGACCCCUAAUUGCCCCAAACCCUCUUGCCCCCCAAUUAACCUCCUGCCCAAUUACCUUCCCUGCCCCUAAUUGCCCCAAAUCCUCCUGCCCCCUAAUUACUCUUUGCCCCAAUCACCCCAAACCCUCCUGCCCCCC